RNAcentral lists this transfer RNA (89 nucleotides) under Candidatus Dormiibacterota bacterium. Its description in RNAcentral is "tRNA-Ser". It matches the Rfam family "tRNA". Rfam says of the family: Transfer RNA (tRNA) molecules are approximately 80 nucleotides in length. Their secondary structure includes four short double-helical elements and three loops (D, anti-codon, and T loops). Further hydrogen bonds mediate the characteristic L-shaped molecular structure. tRNAs have two regions of fundamental functional importance: the anti-codon, which is responsible for specific mRNA codon recognition, and the 3' end, to which the tRNAs corresponding amino acid is attached (by aminoacyl-tRNA synthetases). tRNAs cope with the degeneracy of the genetic code in two manners: having more than one tRNA (with a specific anti-codon) for a particular amino acid; and 'wobble' base-pairing, i.e. permitting non-standard base-pairing at the 3rd anti-codon position. The record is from RNAcentral. RNAcentral also lists the same sequence under 2 other names. Lineage: Bacteria; Bacillati; Candidatus Dormiibacterota.
GGAGAGGUGGCCGAGCCCGGUUGAAGGCGACGGUCUCGAAAACCGUUAUAGGGGCAACCCUAUCGUGGGUUCGAAUCCCACCCUCUCCG